UGAACUUAAUUUGGAUUCAACGGCUUGAGUAACUUGUCUUGAAUCUUCGUCUUCGGACUUGAAUUUGGAUAUUAGUUCAUCCACGAAUGAUGAAUAUCAAUAAGUAACUUGAUCUUGAAUUUGAUUUUGAGCUUGAUUGCUUGAAACUUAUAAAUUGCAGAGAAAUUAUGAUUUUUAAUCCAGUAGCUCUCUUCUUACUUCUUGUUUCUCUCAAAA
RNAcentral lists this long non-coding RNA (216 nucleotides) under Capsicum annuum. RNAcentral describes it as "long non-coding RNA (CANN_LNC011402)". Lineage: Eukaryota; Viridiplantae; Streptophyta; Magnoliopsida; Solanales; Solanaceae. The record is from RNAcentral.